CGUGCAGUGGCUGCGACCAUCCUGUAGCUGGGUUGGCCGAAUGAGCAUUGGGGUGAUGCUGGGGUCAUGGUCCUCCCAGUGUGGCCAAGGGCAGAGCACUGGGUGGAGGGCUUUGGGCAGGGUCGGCAGGGGAAGUAAUCCCCGGGGCAGUGGGCAAGACAGAUAGGGAGAGCCGAAACCGGACCUGCUGAUGUGGCCCUUUCUGCUCGCAGCGGAUCAUAAAAUAUGGCUCAGAUUUUCAUUACGGGCUCUAUCGAUUAUCUUCUGGGACGGAUGAAUUAUAGAGAACAUUAAAUUUUUUUUAAAAAGCAAGUGAGAGAGGAAAUAUCUGAAUGAGUUUGGGUGGUCGAUGGCAGAAAGGGCUGAGCCACCAAACCUGGUCUUGGAACAGUGAGGACAGAACCUCCCAGGGCCAGCAGCCUCUGGCUGUGGCUCUGGGCCUCCAGGCCUCCCUGUCUGGCUCUGCAAUUGGGGAGGCCUGUGCUCCCCUAUACUCUCCUUACUGUGCUCUGGCCCCUCCAGGGACCUGCCUGGCUCUGGGAAGGUGGAAAAUCGGGCUGUUUACAAGGUUCUGACCUAAACCUUUCCCAGGCUUUGAGGCUCCAUUUCUGGGAGCUGGGCCCCCAAAUCCUACUGUUUUCCCUCCAAGGACAACCUAAUCUGGAGGUGCUGCCUGGGCGGAGGGAAGGUUCGGAAGGCAGCAUUGGUCUCCAAGGGUCAGGACCUGGGUAGGAACGCCUGAGCCCCUUAGCCACCUCAUCCUUUCCCAGCUCCUUGUUUCUCCCAUCUGCAGUCACGUCACGGAGGAUUUCUAGUUUCCUUCGUCACCUUGGGAAGAGCAAGUUGGGGUUCACCGCUGUGCACCCAGUUGGAAAGAGCCCCCCAAAAGCCCACCCUCCUGCCUCGCUCUAUACCCCUCUUACUUCUCCUCCCCUUGCCAGGCAGUGUGGCAAUUAGGUGUCAGAAGGUUCUGAGUUCAAAUCACUUCCCAGCGUGUGACCUUGGGUGGGACGUGUCCCUCUCUGAGUCUUUGUUUCUCAACUCUCCAGUUGAGAUAAUCAUCUACCUCAUUGAGUUCUUGUGAUGAUUAUAGGUACUGAUGUAUUAAAAUCCUGAGUACACAGUGCUUAAUAAACAUGAAUGGUUAUUAUUUUCCUCCUCUCUUAUGGCAGAAUCUAGAAACCUCCCCCUACUUCAUUUAGGCUUUUUGAUUUAUUGGGUUUAUCAAAUGCUUUAUGGCACGUACGAUGUGCUAGGUACUUUUCUCAGCAUGUUACACGUAAUAAAUCAUUUAAUCCUCACGACUGUACUCAGGAGGAGCGAUCACGUCUCCAUUUUGCUGAUGGGGAAACUGAGGUGCAGACAGGCUACAGGAACUCACCCAGGGUCACCCAGCUGAGGAG
Molecule: long non-coding RNA, 1403 nt
Filed under: Marmota monax (woodchuck)
Lineage: Eukaryota; Metazoa; Chordata; Mammalia; Rodentia; Sciuridae
Source: RNAcentral